CUUCACCAUCUUCUCCUUCCUCUAUAUAUUACACCAUUCUUCAACCCUAUAUAUCAAAAUAUAACAAAAAAAGGGAACUUUCACUUGAAAAAAAAACCAUCUUUAUGGCAUCAAAAGGUCAGUCCAAUUUCCAAGAUUUCUUGCCCCUGAUGGCAAAAAACUGGGUGGGGAUGGUCUAAUAGGAGAACUCUCUAAUGGGUUUCAGGUCUUGAUGGAUUCUGAUAAAGGGGUCCUCACUUCUGAGAGUCUUAAGAUGAACUCUGUUUUGCUAGGGCUAAAGGACUUGUCUGAUGAGGAUCUUCAAAAUAUGUUAAAAGAAGGUGACUUUGAUGGAGAUGGAGCACUCAAUCAGAUGGAAUUUUGUGUUCUGAUGUUUAGAUUGAGCCAUGAGAUGAUGGAGCAGUCUUGUUGCUGGGAGAGGCUUUUCAAUAAGGAUAUCAAGAAUUUCAUUUUCCAUUGUAAAGAUUUACUGCUUUCUCUAAUUUGUAAUGAUUUUCAUUUUCCUUUGACAUUGGAUUCAAA
Molecule: long non-coding RNA, 522 nt
Filed under: Olea europaea subsp. europaea
Lineage: Eukaryota; Viridiplantae; Streptophyta; Magnoliopsida; Lamiales; Oleaceae
Source: RNAcentral